CCUACGGGUGGCAGCAGUGGGGGAUAUUGCACAAUGGGGGGAACCCUGAUGCAGCGACGCCGCGUGGGUGAAGGAGUGCUUCGGCCUGUAAAGCCCUAUCGGCAGGGAAGAAGCAAGACGGUCCCUGACUAAGAAGCCCCGGCUAACUACGUGCCAGCAGCCGCGGUAAUACGUAGGGGGCGAGCGUUAUCCGGAAUGACUGGGCGUAAAGGGUGCGUAGGUGGUUUGGCAAGUUAGUAGCGUAACUCCAAGGCUCAACCUUGGAACUACUACUAAAACUGUUGGACUUGAGUGCAGGAGGGGCAACCGGAAUUCCUAGUGUAGCGGUGGAAUGCGUAGAUAUUAGGAGGAACACCAGUGGCGAAGGCGGGUUGCUAGACUGUAACUGACACUGAGGCACGAAAGCGUGGGGAGCAAACAGGAUUAGAUACCCUAGUAGUC
Molecule: ribosomal RNA, 441 nt
Filed under: uncultured bacterium
Lineage: Bacteria
Description: partial 16S ribosomal RNA
Rfam family: Bacterial small subunit ribosomal RNA
Source: RNAcentral